This 460-nucleotide ribosomal RNA is filed under the name uncultured bacterium. Its description in RNAcentral is "partial 16S ribosomal RNA". It matches the Rfam family "Bacterial small subunit ribosomal RNA", at positions 338 to 795 of the family's 1533-position model. The record is from RNAcentral.
CCUACUUUUGUCCUCCUUGCGGCAUCUUGGUCAAUGGACGGAAGUCUGAACCAGCCAAGUAGCGUGAAGGAUGACUGCCCUAUGGGUUGUAAACUUCUUUUAUAUGGGAAUAAAAUGUUCCACGUGUGGGAUUUUGUAUGUACCAUAUGAAUAAGGAUCGGCUAACUCCGUGCCAGCAGCCGCGGUAAUACGGAGGAUCCGAGCGUUAUCCGGAUUUAUUGGGUUUAAAGGGAGCGUAGGUGGAUUGUUAAGUCAGUUGUGAAAGUUUGCGGCUCAACCGUAAAAUUGCAGUUGAAACUGGCAGUCUUGAGUACAGUAGAGGUGGGCGGAAUUCGUGGUGUAGCGGUGAAAUGCUUAGAUAUCACGAAGAACUCCGAUUGCGAAGGCAGUUCACUGGACUGCAACUGACACUGAGGCUCGAAAGUGUGGGUAUCAAACAGGAUUAGAUACCCUUGUAGUC